Molecule: ribosomal RNA, 467 nt
Filed under: uncultured bacterium
Lineage: Bacteria
Description: partial 16S ribosomal RNA
Rfam family: Bacterial small subunit ribosomal RNA
Source: RNAcentral
GACGAACGCUGGCGGCGUGCUUAACACAUGCAAGUCGAACGGAAAGGCCCUGCUUUUGUGGGGUGCUCGAGUGGCGAACGGGUGAGUAACACGUGAGUAACCUGCCCUUGACUUUGGGAUAACUUCAGGAAACUGGGGCUAAUACCGGAUAGGAGCUCCUGCUGCAUGGUGGGGGUUGGAAAGUUUCGGCGGUUGGGGAUGGACUCGCGGCUUAUCAGCUUGUUGGUGGGGUAGUGGCUUACCAAGGCUUUGACGGGUAGCCGGCCUGAGAGGGUGACCGGCCACAUUGGGACUGAGAUACGGCCCAGGCUCCUACGGGAGGCAGCAGUGGGGAAUAUUGCACAAGGGGCGGAAGCCUGAUGCAGCAACGCCGCGUGCGGGAGGACGGCCUUCGGGUUGUAAACCGCUUUCGCCUGUGACGAAGCGUGAGUGACGGUAAUGGGUAAAGAAGCACCGGCUAACUACGU